AAGGAUACCCAUUUUUAUCAUUUGCCAUUCAUGUCUUACUGGAAGUACUAGCAAUAGCUAUUAUACAAGAAAAGGGGCAUCCGCAUUGGAAAUGAAGGGGUAAAGCUACCUCUAUUCACAGAUUAUGUGAUCUAAUCUUUAGAAAAUCCAAAGGAAUCCACAAGAAAGCUAGUAGAACUAAAAAGCGAGUUCUUCAUAAUUGCAGGGUACAAAUGAAAACAAAAAUCAGAUGUAUUUCUGUACACCACCAACAAUCUAAAAAUGAAAUUAAGAAUGGAAUUCCAUUUAUAAUAAUAUCUAAAAGUUUAAAUCCAAGGAGAGAAAGGAAAUCUUGGGGAGCUGCCGUCUGCACCUCCAUGACCAGCACAGCCAUGCAAGAGUCAACAGGAGACCCAGGCCAUCACCCCAUCGCUGCUGCUUCUAUCCACCUGCUUCCACGUCCUUGAAUUCCUUCCAACAGCUUGCUAAAACAUGAUGGAUUACUAUGAAGUUCUAUGCAUGCAAAGACAUGCUUCAGCCAAGGAUAUUAAAAAGGCUUAUUGGAAACUGGCAUCACCAUAGUACCCAGAUAAAAAUCUUGAGAAGAAAAAGGGGAGAGAAAAUUCAAAUAGCCAAGGUGUUUGAGGUGUUAUCACAUAUUAAAAAAAUGGGACAUCUAUGACAGAUAUGCUAAAAAACAAUUAAAUGAUGGAGGUGGAAGUCAUUUUGACAGGCCAUUUGAGUUUGGCUUCAGAUUCCUUAAUCCAGAUGUCUUCAGGGAAUAUUUUGGUGGAAGAGACUUUUUUUAUUUAACCUCUUUGAAGACCCACUUGAGAACAUAUUUGGUCAUUGCAGGGGCCCCAUGGAAACAAAAGCUGGGUCACAGGGUCAUUUUUCUCUGCCUUAAGUGGAUUUCCAUCUUUUGGAGGUGGAUUUUCUUCUUUUGACCCAAAUUUACAUUGUUCAGUUCACUACGUCAUGGGGGCCUCACUUCAUUCUCUUCCAUGUCAUUUGGUGGUAGUGGGAUGGGCAACUUCAAAUCUAUGUCAACUUCUACUAAAUUAAUUAAUGGCAGAAAAAUCACUACAAAGAGAAUUGUCAAGAAUGGUGAAGAAAGAUUAGAAGUUGAAAAAGAUGGCCAGUUAAAGUCCUUAACAAUAAAAUGCAAGGAGCAGCAGCUAUGCUUGGAUAAGGACUAAUUGCAUGCAUUUAACUGAAAUAUUAAACUAUAAAUAUAGGAACAUUUGUUGAAGAUUUGAAAUGAAUUCAACUUCUAGUAUAACUGUACCUAAUGUAAAGUAUUUAUAAACAGUUCACUGGAGCCCCUAUUUGUCAUAUGCUUUCGAGUUUAUUGUUGGGACCACAUAACAGUUCCAUAACUUUUUGUCUUUAAAAUUGUUGUAAAUCUGUAUAUGCACAUUGCUUUUCUAUUAAAUGUAAUCUAAGGUGGCUUUGAUUCUUUUGUACACUAACACCAGCAAAGACCUUCUUUUGCAUUGUGUUUGAAACAUGAGCCAAGUAGUGUCAGUCUGCUGUAAAGUCAGUAUUGCCAGGAUGAAUCUUACACACACACACACAAAUUCAAUUUUUUUCAGUAUUUAGUAGUGAAAGACAUUAAUGCAUUAAUAGUAACACUUUUGAUUUAAUAUAAAUUGAGGAUGUUUUCUACUUGUGCAUGAAUGCUGGCAACUUAGUACAUUUUGACAAUUGUUUAAACGUAAUUACAAGCUUAGGUUUAAAAAAGUAAAGCUGGUAAGCUGGGUCUUUGUCAUUUGCUUUAAAAAAAGAAUGGAAAUGUGAAUGUGUUUAAUGCAUUCCUUCCUCAGUGGGACCUGUAAAAACUUAAUUAAUUUAUGAAUUAAAUUCUCAGUAAUAAAUUUAGGCAAAAGGCUAGUACACCAAAAAUUAUAAAACAUUUUGCUGAGAGAAUCCUUGUGCAUUUCUGGUGGGAAUGUAAAAAGGUGUAAUUGCUAUGAAAAACAGUUUGGCAAUUUUUCAAAAGGUUCAGUAUAGAACUACCAAAUGACACGGCAAUUCCACUCCUAGGUUUAUAUCCUAAAGAACUCAAAACAGGAACUCAGAUAUUUGUAACAAGUUUCAUAGCAGCAUUAUUCACAAUAAUCAAAAGGUGGAAACAACCGAAGUGUCAAUCAACAGGUGAAUGGAUAAACUAUAUGUGGUAUAUUCAUACAAUGGAAUAUCAUUCUGUCAUAAAAAGGAAUUACAUUUUGAUAUAGGAUAUACCAUGGGUAAACCUUGAAAACUAUGCUUAGUGAAAUAAGCCAGAUACAGAUGAAAAUAUAAUAUUGUAUCCUUUCACCUUUAUGACAUGCCUAGAAUAGGCAAAUUCAUAGAGACAGAAAGUAGAACAGAGAUUACCAGAGGCUGGGGGCAAGGGAUGGGGUUAGAAGCUCAGGUUUUUGUUUAAUGUGCAUGGGGGUUUGGUUGGGAUGAUGGAAACGUUUUGGGUAUUGAUUUAGUAGUGAUGUUUACAAAACAUUGUAUAUUUAAUGCCACUUACAAAUGAUUAAAAAAUUAUGUAUAUUUUACCAC
Molecule: long non-coding RNA, 2532 nt
Filed under: Phocoena sinus (vaquita)
Lineage: Eukaryota; Metazoa; Chordata; Mammalia; Artiodactyla; Phocoenidae
Description: lncRNA (ENSPSNG00000021069.1)
Source: RNAcentral